RNAcentral lists this ribosomal RNA (56 nucleotides) under Ipomoea nil (Japanese morning glory). RNAcentral's name for it is "partial small subunit ribosomal RNA". It matches the Rfam family "Eukaryotic small subunit ribosomal RNA", at positions 1773 to 1831 of the family's 1831-position model. The record is from RNAcentral. Lineage: Eukaryota; Viridiplantae; Streptophyta; Magnoliopsida; Solanales; Convolvulaceae.
UUGGAAGGAAGAAGUGUAACAAGGUUUCCGUAGGUGAACCUGCGGAAGGAUCAUUG